This 113-nucleotide small nuclear RNA is filed under the name Choloepus hoffmanni (Hoffmann's two-fingered sloth). Its description in RNAcentral is "U5 spliceosomal RNA (ENSCHOG00000014201.1)". It matches the Rfam family "U5 spliceosomal RNA". From Rfam's summary of the family: U5 RNA is a component of both types of known spliceosome. The record is from RNAcentral. Lineage: Eukaryota; Metazoa; Chordata; Mammalia; Pilosa; Megalonychidae.
GUACGGUUUUCCUUCAAAUUGUAUAAAUUUUUCGGCUUUUACUAAAAAUUUCUGUUGAGAGAAACAGUUAUAGGUUUAUGAUUAAUUCUUUAAUGCCUUGUUUUUACAAGGCU